ACGGCCAUACCACAUUGAAAACGCCGGUUCUCGUCCGAUCACCAAAACCGAAGCAACGUCGGACCUGGUCAGUACUUGGGAGGGUGACCACCUGGGGUGCAGUAGGCU
This 108-nucleotide ribosomal RNA is filed under the name Cordylochernes scorpioides. The record is from RNAcentral. Lineage: Eukaryota; Metazoa; Arthropoda; Arachnida; Pseudoscorpiones; Chernetidae.